This 497-nucleotide ribosomal RNA is filed under the name uncultured bacterium. RNAcentral's name for it is "partial 16S ribosomal RNA". It matches the Rfam family "Bacterial small subunit ribosomal RNA", at positions 28 to 507 of the family's 1533-position model. The record is from RNAcentral.
GAUGAACGCUGGCGGCGUGCCUAAUACAUGCAAGUCGAGCGAACAGACGAGGAGCUUGCUCCUCUGACGUUAGCGGCGGACGGGUGAGUAACACGUGGAUAACCUACCUAUAAGACUGGGAUAACUUCGGGAAACCGGAGCUAAUACCGGAUAAUAUAUUGAACCGCAUGGUUCAAUAGUGAAAGACGGUUUUGCUGUCACUUAUAGAUGGAUCCGCGCCGCAUUAGCUAGUUGGUGAGGUAACGGCUUACCAAGGCAACGAUGCGUAGCCGACCUGAGAGUGUGAUCGGCCACACUGGAACUGAGACACGGUCCAGACUCCUACGGGAGGCAGCAGUAGGGAAUCUUCCGCAAUGGGCGAAAGCCUGACGGAGCAACGCCGCGUGAGUGAUGAAGGUCUUCGGAUCGUAAAACUCUGUUAUUAGGGAAGAACAAAUGUGUAAGUAACUAUGCACGUCUUGACGGUACCUAAUCAGAAAGCCACGGCUAACUACGUG